UGGGGAAUAUUGGACAAUGGGGGCAACCCUGAUCCAGCCAUGCCGCGUGCGUGAAGAAGGCCUUAGGGUUGUAAAGCGCUUUCAGCGGGGACGAUGAUGACGGUACCCGCAGAAGAAGCCCCGGCUAACUCCGUGCCAGCAGCCGCGGUAAUACGGAGGGGGCAAGCGUUGUUCGGAAUUACUGGGCGUUAAGGGCGCGUAGGCGGCACAUCAAGUCAGAGGUGAAAGCCCCGGGCUCAACCUGGGAACUGCCUUUGGAACUGAUGAGCUAGAGUCCGGAAGAGGAUAGCGGAAUUCCCAGUGUAGAGGUGAAAUUCGUAGAUAUUGGGAAGAACACCAGUGGCGAAGGCGGCUAUCUGGUCCUGUACUGACGCUGAGGCGCGAAAGCGUGGGUAGCGAACGGGAUUAGAUACCCCGGUAGUCC
Molecule: ribosomal RNA, 424 nt
Filed under: uncultured prokaryote
Description: bacterial SSU rRNA
Rfam family: Bacterial small subunit ribosomal RNA
Source: RNAcentral